UCGGGAAUAUUGCGCAAUGGAGGAAACUCUGACGCAGUGACGCCGCGUGCAGGAAGAAGGUUUUCGGAUUGUAAACUGCUUUAGACAGGGAAGAAAGAAAUGACGGUACCUGUAGAAUAAGCCUCCGGCUAACUACGUGCCAGCA
This 145-nucleotide ribosomal RNA is filed under the name uncultured bacterium. RNAcentral describes it as "partial 16S ribosomal RNA". It matches the Rfam family "Bacterial small subunit ribosomal RNA", at positions 355 to 513 of the family's 1533-position model. The record is from RNAcentral.